AGCCUGCAUCAAGAGUUGGGCUCGCCCAACGCCAACCUGCUUCCCGAGCAAGGUGGCGCCCCGUCGGGGGGAUGCGGCCGCGACGGCAACGAAACGGGUGAUC
Molecule: non-coding RNA, 103 nt
Filed under: Caulobacter vibrioides
Lineage: Bacteria; Pseudomonadati; Pseudomonadota; Alphaproteobacteria; Caulobacterales; Caulobacteraceae
Description: SAM-I-IV sequence
Rfam family: SAM-I/IV (S-adenosyl methionine) riboswitch aptamer
About the family: It is found upstream of a number of genes which code for proteins involved in methionine or cysteine biosynthesis. It has been found mostly in the order Actinomycetales.
Source: RNAcentral